CUGUCCUCUGACAGCCCAACACACGCCCUGGCCACGCCCCCAACCACAUGCACUCACCUGAUUUGUCCGCAGUUCAAGAUGGCUCCCGACUCCAGUUUCAAAAAUGUCAGUGUCUCAACAGACAAGAGACAGACAACUGCGACCAAAUCAAGUCAGACAGAGGCUUUAAAAAUAAGUAAUCCGAGGCUGUUUAACCCCUCAGGCUGUAUUUUAUGAGUUCUCUUUGCUGGAUAGAUUUUUCUGUCACGGAUCAUUUAAAUAUAAACCAAACAAUAAAUAAUACAUCCACUUCUGUGCUCCUGCCCUGCCGACGUGUCACCUGAAGCUGAUGACGUCACAGAUACAAAAUCUUCCGUAAGUUUUAGAAUUAUUCAAAAACCUAAAAUUAAGCAAAACUAAUAACAGUGCUCCUUUUAAAGAAGUUAAAAUAAAUGUAAAUAUAUUUGUCCAGUGAAAGCAACAAAAGAAAACCUGUUCCUGCUUCUGCUGUGUGCCACAUUUCCAUCUCCUGAUCUCUCUUGCUGUGGGGCAAUUUGUGUUGGAGCCUGCCUACUUGGGAGGAAACAAGGACAUUUUUUUUGUGGGGAAGGGAUUUAUGUUUAUUUUUGAAUGGACAUUUACAAAAUACAAAAAACUGUGGAACAAACAAUUCUUUUGUUGGUGUUAUGUGUAAAACAAUUGUCAUUCAUUGUACUUAAGGGUCUACACCUUGAAGUGUAUGGUCCUUGUGUGACUGGUAAAAAAA
Fundulus heteroclitus (mummichog) is the source of this 745-nucleotide long non-coding RNA. RefSeq lists it as uncharacterized. The record is from RefSeq and is a predicted model, not a curated record. NCBI's taxonomy places the organism in Eukaryota, Metazoa, Chordata, Actinopteri, Cyprinodontiformes, Fundulidae. The transcript has 2 exons.